GUUUCCGUAGUGUAGUGGUCAUCACGUUUGCCUCACACGCAAAGGUCCCCAGGUCGAAACUGGGCGGAAACA
RNAcentral lists this transfer RNA (72 nucleotides) under Danionella translucida. It matches the Rfam family "tRNA". From Rfam's summary of the family: Transfer RNA (tRNA) molecules are approximately 80 nucleotides in length. Their secondary structure includes four short double-helical elements and three loops (D, anti-codon, and T loops). Lineage: Eukaryota; Metazoa; Chordata; Actinopteri; Cypriniformes; Danionidae. RNAcentral also lists the same sequence under 1 other name. The record is from Rfam by way of RNAcentral.